Molecule: ribosomal RNA, 1491 nt
Filed under: uncultured beta proteobacterium
Lineage: Bacteria; Pseudomonadati; Pseudomonadota; Betaproteobacteria
Description: 16S ribosomal RNA
Rfam family: Bacterial small subunit ribosomal RNA
Source: RNAcentral
UGAGUUUGAUCCUGGCUCAGAUUGAACGCUGGCGGCAUGCCUUACACAUGCAAGUCGAACGGCAGCACGGGUGCUUGCACCUGAUGGCGAGUGGCGAACGGGUGAGUAAUACAUCGGAACAUGUCCUGUAGUGGGGGAUAGCCCGGCGAAAGCCGGAUUAAUGCCGCAUACGAUCUACGGAUGAAAGCGGGGGACCUUCGGGCCUCGCGCUAUAGGGUUGGCCGAUGGCUGAUUAGCUAGUUGGUGGGGUAAAGGCCUACCAAGGCGACGAUCAGUAGCUGGUCUGAGAGGACGACCAGCCACACCGGGACUGAGACACGGCCCAGACUCCUACGGGAGGCAGCAGUGGGGAAUUUUGGACAAUGGGCGAAAGCCUGAUCCAGCAAUGCCGCGUGUGUGAAGAAGGCCUUCGGGUUGUAAAGCACUUUUGUCCGGAAAGAAAUCCUUGGCUCUAAUACAGUCGGGGGAUGACGGUACCGGAAGAAUAAGCACCGGCUAACUACGUGCCAGCAGCCGCGGUAAUACGUAGGGUGCGAGCGUUAAUCGGAAUUACUGGGCGUAAAGCGUGCGCAGGCGGUUUGCUAAGACCGAUGUGAAAUCCCCGGGCUCAACCUGGGAACUGCAUUGGUGACUGGCAGGCUAGAGUAUGGCAGAGGGGGGUAGAAUUCCACGUGUAGCAGUGAAAUGCGUAGAGAUGUGGAGGAAUACCGAUGGCGAAGGCAGCCCCCUGGGCCAAUACUGACGCUCAUGCACGAAAGCGUGGGGAGCAAACAGGAUUAGAUACCCUGGUAGUCCACGCCCUAAACGAUGUCAACUAGUUGUUGGGGAUUCAUUUCCUUAGUAACGUAGCUAACGCGUGAAGUUGACCGCCUGGGGAGUGCGGUCGCAAGAUUAAAACUCAAAGGAAUUGACGGGGACCCGCACAAGCGGUGGAUGAUGUGGAUUAAUUCGAUGCAACGCGAAAAACCUUACCUACCCUUGACAUGGUCGGAAUCCCGCUGAGAGGUGGGAGUGCUCGAAAGAGAACCGGCGCACAGGUGCUGCAUGGCUGUCGUCAGCUCGUGUCGUGAGAUGUUGGGUUAAGUCCCGCAACGAGCGCAACCCUUGUCCUUAGUUGCUACGCAAGAGCACUCUAAGGAGACUGCCGGUGACAAACCGGAGGAAGGUGGGGAUGACGUCAAGUCCUCAUGGCCCUUAUGGGUAGGGCUUCACACGUCAUACAAUGGUCGGAACAGAGGGUUGCCAACCCGCGAGGGGGAGCUAAUCCCAGAAAACCGAUCGUAGUCCGGAUUGCACUCUGCAACUCGAGUGCAUGAAGCUGGAAUCGCUAGUAAUCGCGGAUCAGUAUGCCGCGGUGAAUACGUUCCCGGGUCUUGUACACACCGCCCGUCACACCAUGGGAGUGGGUUUUACCAGAAGUGGCUAGUCUAACCGCAAGGAGGACGGUCACCACGGUAGGAUUCAUGACUGGGGUGAAGUCGUAACAAGGUA